RNAcentral lists this ribosomal RNA (257 nucleotides) under uncultured prokaryote. RNAcentral describes it as "partial 16S ribosomal RNA". It matches the Rfam family "Bacterial small subunit ribosomal RNA", at positions 524 to 780 of the family's 1533-position model. The record is from RNAcentral.
UACGUAGGGCGCAAGCGUUGUCCGGAAUUAUUGGGCGUAAAGAGCUCGUAGGCGGUUUGUCGCGUCUGGUGUGAAAACUCAAGGCUCAACCUUGAGCUUGCAUCGGGUACGGGCAGACUAGAGUGUGGUAGGGGAGACUGGAAUUCCUGGUGUAGCGGUGGAAUGCGCAGAUAUCAGGAGGAACACCGAUGGCGAAGGCAGGUCUCUGGGCCACUACUGACGCUGAGGAGCGAAAGCAUGGGUAGCGAACAGGAUUA